GUGAACCGUAUCAACCUUUUUAAAUUGGGGGCUUCCGUCUGGCCGGCCGGUUUUCGGCUGGCUGGGUGGCGGCUCUAUCAUGGCGACCGCUUGGGCCUCGGCCUGGGCUAGUAGCUUCUCUUUUAAACCCAUUCCUAAUGACUGAAUAUACUGUGGGGACGAAAGUCUCUGCUUUUAACUAGAUAGCAACUUUCAGCAGUGGAUGUCUAGGCUCGCACAUCGAUGAAGAACGCUGCGAACUGCGAUACGUAAUGCGAAUUGCAGGAUUCAGUGAGUCAUCGAAAUUUUGAACGCAUAUUGCACUUCCGGGUUAGUCCUGGGAGUAUGCCUGUAUCAGUGUCCGUACACUAAACUUGGCUCCCUUCCUUCCGUGUAGUCGGUGGAUGGGGACGCGCAGAUGUGAAGUGUCUUGCGGCUGGUCUUCGGUCCGGCUGCGAGUCCUUUGAAAUGUACUAAACUGUACUUCUCUUUGCUCGAAAAGCGUGACGUUGCUGGUUGUGGAGGCUGCCUGUGUGGCAUGUCGGCGACCGGUUUGUCUGCUGCGGCGUUUAAUGGAGGAGUGUUCGAUUCGCGGUAUGGUUGGCUUCGGCUGAACAGACGCUUAUUGGGUGCUUUUCCUGCUGUG
This 625-nucleotide ribosomal RNA is filed under the name Phytophthora sansomeana. Its description in RNAcentral is "eukaryotic LSU rRNA". The stretch from base 188 to 342 matches the Rfam family "5.8S ribosomal RNA". Lineage: Eukaryota; Oomycota; Peronosporomycetes; Peronosporales; Peronosporaceae. The record is from RNAcentral.